RNAcentral lists this ribosomal RNA (468 nucleotides) under uncultured bacterium. Its description in RNAcentral is "partial 16S ribosomal RNA". It matches the Rfam family "Bacterial small subunit ribosomal RNA", at positions 28 to 507 of the family's 1533-position model. The record is from RNAcentral.
GACGAACGCUGGCGGCGUGCUUAACACAUGCAAGUCGAACGGAAAGGCCCUGCUUUUGUGGGGUGCUCGAGUGGCGAACGGGUGAGUAACACGUGAGUAACCUGCCCUUGACUUUGGGAUAACUUCAGGAAACUGGGGCUAAUACCGGAUAGGAGCUCCUGCUGCAUGGUGGGGGUUGGAAAGUUUCGGCGGUUGGGGAUGGACUCGCGGCUUAUCAGCUUGUUGGUGGGGUAGUGGCUUACCAAGGCUUUGACGGGUAGCCGGCCUGAGAGGGGGACCGGCCACAAUGGGACUGAGAUACGGCCCAGACUCCUACGGGAGGCAGCAGUAGAGAGUAUUACACAGUGGGCGGGAGCCUGAUGCAGCGACGCCGCGAGCGGGAUGAAGGCCUUCGGGUUGUAAACCGCUUUCGCCUGUGACGAAGCGUGAGUGACGGUAAUGGGUAAAGAAGCACCGGCUAACUACGUG